AUUGAACGCUGGCGGCAUGCCUUACACAUGCAAGUCGAACGGCAGCGCGGGGGCAACCCUGGCGGCGAGUGGCGAACGGGUGAGUAAUAUAUCGGAACGUACCCAAGAGUGGGGGAUAACGUAGCGAAAGUUACGCUAAUACCGCAUACGAUCUAAGGAUGAAAGUGGGGGACCGCAAGGCCUCACGCUCCUGGAGCGGCCGAUAUCUGAUUAGCUAGUUGGUGGGGUAAAGCCUACCAAGGCAUCGAUCAGUAGCUGGCCUGAGAGGACGACCAGCCACACUGGGACUGAGACACGGCCCAGACUCCUACGGGAGGCAGCAGUGGGGAAUUUUGGACAAUGGGGGGCAACCCUGAUCCAGCAAUGCCGCGUGAGUGAAGAAGGCC
Molecule: ribosomal RNA, 386 nt
Filed under: uncultured bacterium
Lineage: Bacteria
Description: bacterial SSU rRNA
Rfam family: Bacterial small subunit ribosomal RNA
Source: RNAcentral